AAAUUCGCAGAGGAGACGAAUUCACGGCGAAGUGUAAAAAUAGAGAACGGGAAUAAUAAUGACACUUGCAGGAAAAAGAGAGAUCCAAAGUAGUUGCCUAAAAAAAGUAUUUCGUGUAAAAACUCAUCACCCAGAAGAGAAGCCCUCCCCCAAAAUAAAAAAAGAGGCAAGAAUUGUCAAAAUAAUAACGGUAUUAAGAUGAACGGUGAACGCGUUCUCUCUCUCCCCGGACUUUCCCCCUCCCCCCUGUUUCUCUCUCUCUCCUUUCCCCCUUUUUUCUGUCUUUCUUUCCGAGUUUGGUUUUUUUUUUUUUUCCAGUUUCACCUCUCUCCUCUUCUCCUGCAGGAAUGAAGCGAAAGACACAAGGAGGAAGGGUGGAAAAAAGAAGAAAAGGAAGGAGAAGAGGGAGAUGAAGGGGGGGCACACAACUAAUAGAAUAUGCAAGAAAGGGAAGGGGGGGAGAGAGGGAGAGAGGGAGA
Zonotrichia albicollis (white-throated sparrow) is the source of this 479-nucleotide non-coding RNA. Lineage: Eukaryota; Metazoa; Chordata; Aves; Passeriformes; Passerellidae. The record is from RefSeq and is a predicted model, not a curated record.